UGACGUAUGUGUGAAUCAUCGAAUCUUUGAACGCACUUUGCACCUUGUGGCUUUUGUCACAAGGUAUACUUGUUUGAGUAUCCACAACCAUCUCACCUCACCUUUGGGUUGAAGUGGACCUGAGAUUCGAUGAGAGGCCCGUAAAAAGGUCUCGAGUCGUUCCUUUAAAUGAGUGUGACCGCGUAGGGAUGUCUCCGCUGGACGUCUAGGUAGAGUCAUUGGGAUAACAUCCUAACAAUCGCCUACCUAGUGCUUUAACCUCGCAAGGGGCUUGAAGAAGAAGCGUUGACGGACCUGGUUACUCUUUGGCAACAGGGUGUGUCUGUCUCGUCUCGUAUGAGGGGAGGGAGGACUAUCAAGAAGCCACAAGGAGCCUCGGCUUCUGUGAAAUGGAUCUCAAAUCAAGUAAGGAUACCCGCUGAACUUAAGCAUAUCAAUAAGCGGAGG
This 447-nucleotide ribosomal RNA is filed under the name uncultured Mortierellales. Its description in RNAcentral is "eukaryotic LSU rRNA". The stretch from base 392 to 447 matches the Rfam family "Eukaryotic large subunit ribosomal RNA", at positions 1 to 56 of the family's 3401-position model. Lineage: Eukaryota; Fungi; Mortierellomycota; Mortierellomycetes; Mortierellales. The record is from RNAcentral.